RNAcentral lists this ribosomal RNA (254 nucleotides) under uncultured bacterium. Its description in RNAcentral is "partial 16S ribosomal RNA". It matches the Rfam family "Bacterial small subunit ribosomal RNA", at positions 79 to 334 of the family's 1533-position model. The record is from RNAcentral.
CUAAGACUGAUGGCGACCGGCGCACGGGUGAGUAACACGUAUCCAACCUGCCCUUUACUCGGGGAUAGCCUUUCGAAAGAAAGAUUAAUACCCGAUAGCAUAAUGAUUCCGCAUGGUUUCAUUAUUAAAGGAUUCCGGUAAAGGAUGGGGAUGCGUUCCAUUAGGUUGUUGGUGGGGUAACGGCCCACCAAGCCUUCGAUGGAUAGGGGUUCUGAGAGGAAGGUCCCCCACAUUGGAACUGAGACACGGUCCAA